GACGAACGCUGGCGGCGUGCUUAACACAUGCAAGUCGAACGGUGAAGGGGUCUGCUUUUGUGGGCCCUGGAUGAGUGGCGAACGGGUGAGUAACACGUGAGUAACCUGCCCCCUUCUUCUGGAUAACCGCAUGAAAGUGUGGCUAAUACGGGAUAUUCUGGGUCUGUCGCAUGAUGGGUCUGGGAAAGAUUGCGCCUUUGGGUGUUUUUGGUGGGGGAUGGGCUCGCGGCCUAUCAGCUUGUUGGUGGGGUGAUGGCCUACCAAGGCGGUGACGGGUAGCCGGCCUGAGAGGGUGGACGGUCACACUGGGACUGAGACACGGCCCAGACUCCUACGGGAGGCAGCAGUGGGGAAUAUUGCACAAUGGGCGCAAGCCUGAUGCAGCGACGCCGCGUGAGGGAUGGAGGCCUUCGGGUUGUAAACCUCUUUCGCCAGCGAAGCAGGCCUGCUCCUUGUGGGUGGGUUGACGGUAGCUGGAUAAGAAGCGCCGGCUAACUACGUG
Molecule: ribosomal RNA, 502 nt
Filed under: uncultured bacterium
Lineage: Bacteria
Description: partial 16S ribosomal RNA
Rfam family: Bacterial small subunit ribosomal RNA
Source: RNAcentral